UGGGGAAUAUUGCACAAUGGAGGGAACUCUGAUGCAGCGACGCCGCGUGAGUGAUGAAGGAAUUCGUUUCGUAAAACUCUGUUCUCUGGGAAGAAAAGGACUGUACCAUAGGAGAAAGCUCCGGCUAAAUACGUGCCAGCAGCCGCGGUAAUACGUAUGGAGCGAGCGUUGUCCGGAAUUAUUGGGCGUACAGGGUGCGCAGGCGGCUUUACAAGUUGGAUGUGAAAUAUUGUGGCUCAACCACAAACGUGCAUCCAAAACUGCAAAGCUUGGGUUAAGGAGAGGUAAGUGGAAUUCCUGGUGUAGCGGUGGAAUGCGUAGAUAUCAGGAGGAAUACCGGUGGCGAAGGCGACUUACUGGACUUAAACUGACGCUCAGGCACGAAAGCGUGGGGAGCAAACAGG
Molecule: ribosomal RNA, 404 nt
Filed under: Fusobacteriota bacterium
Lineage: Bacteria; Fusobacteriati; Fusobacteriota
Description: Fusobacteria bacterium partial 16S ribosomal RNA
Rfam family: Bacterial small subunit ribosomal RNA
Source: RNAcentral